Clupea harengus (Atlantic herring) is the source of this 1257-nucleotide long non-coding RNA. Lineage: Eukaryota; Metazoa; Chordata; Actinopteri; Clupeiformes; Clupeidae. The record is from Ensembl.
CUUUGACACACACUCGACGCAUACCCAUCAAUGCGCUAGCAUGUUCUGUACCCCUACCUCUUCAGAUUUUUGGUUCAGUUUUCCCUUACGUUUUUAAUGUCAAAAUAUUGGUUGGAGAUAUAGAAGGGGGCGCAAUAUUAUUGAUAAUAAUAUAUUACAUUUUUUUGCUGGGCGCAGUUUUUGGCGAUACGCUUCCAUCGCUUUGAGUGGGCGUGUUGUAGCGUGUGGAAAUAUAAUUUUCAAACGUCAGAGACGACUCCAAACAAUCUGAUUGGCCGCUGCCCGGAAAAAUCGCUCCUCAUUUGCAUAGGAUUCAACAUUUUCCAACUUUUAUCGGUCGCGUCACCCAAAACGGUGGUCUACGUCACAAUGGAUUGGCUCCCGUUGAAAUGCAUGGGAUUUAGAUAUCGCGUCGCUGGUAACGGUGUCAUGGGUUUGCACCGUUAGCCAGAGGUUCUCAAAGAGGGGUCCGCGACGCAUUGCCUGGGGGUCCGUGAAAAAGUCUGGCUUCCUUUUCUUUUUUUUUCUUUUUUUUUGAUUUAUUGCAAUACAGUAUACAACAACAUACAGACAAGCAGAGGUGUAAAGUAACGAAUUACAUUUACUCACGUUACUGUAAUUGAGUCGUUUUUUUGUGUACUUUGUAAUUUUCAAGUAGUUUUUGAAAUUGGUAAUUUUACUUUUACUUAAGUAGAUUUUGACUGAAGUAUUGUACUUCGCUACAUUGGAAAUUACAUCCGUUACUGUGUAAAAAAAAAAAAAAACAUAGUUCAAGGCGGGAAUCGCACACGACAAUUCUGACUGCAGUGGUGGAUGCUGCAUAGAGUGGAUGAUGGAGUCGAUGCAAGGCGCCGGUGCCGAGUCACGAGAGAUAGAGAUGGAGGAAGAUGAUGGUAGUCCGCACUAACAAGCUGAAGCACCGAACUUUCCGCCAGUUGAAAUUAAAGAAGAUGAAGAAAAUCCGUGGCCACAUCUCAGCAAGCAGUUUGCCUUCCAAUGUAAAAGAGGCAACAGCUAUAUAAUGCUGUGUAAGCUGUGCCUAACCCGCCUUUCUGCUUAUAAAAAUUAAUCUUCAAAUCUGCGCAAGCAUGUGUUGGUAAGUACAGUAUUUGUCCCUUUCCAUUAGUAGUUCAGACAGCGUCUUUGUCGUUUAGUUAGCUUUGCUCCAUUAUGCAAAAUAUGCAUUUCAUGGCACUAGUAGCCUCAUUUUGGCUAGCACUUGCAACCGCCCUGAGUAUGCUAACGUCGACAGCCGUC